ACACAUGCAAGUCGAGGGGCAGCAUGGUAGGUAGCAAUACUUAUUGAUGGCGACCGGCGCACGGGUGAGUAACGCGUAUGCAACUUACCUAUCAGAGGGGGAUAGCCCGGCGAAAGUCGGAUUAAUACUCCAUAAAACAGGGGUCCCGCAUGGGACUAUUUGUUAAAGAUUCAUCGCUGAUAGAUAGGCAUGCGUUCCAUUAGGCAGUUGGCGGGGUAACGGCCCACCAAACCGACGAUGGAUAGGGGUUCUGAGAGGAAGGUCCCCCACAUUGGUACUGAGACACGGACCAAACUCCUACGGGAGGCAGCAGUGAGGAAUAUUGGUCAAUGGCCGAGAGGCUGAACCAGCCAAGUCGCGUGAAGGAUGAAGGAUCUAUGGUUUGUAAACUUCUUUUAUAGGGGAAUAAAGUGUGGGACGUGUUCCAUUUUGUAUGUACCCUAUGAAUAAGCAUCGGCUAACUCCGUGCCAGCAGCCGCGGUAAUACGGAGGAUGCGAGCGUUAUCCGGAUUUAUUGGGUUUAAAGGGUGCGUAGGUGGUAAUUUAAGUCAGCGGUGAAAGUUUGUGGCUCAACCAUAAAAUUGCCGUUGAAACUGGGUUACUUGAGUGUGUUUGAGGUAGGCGGAAUGCGUGGUGUAGCGGUGAAAUGCAUAGAUAUCACGCAGAACUCCAAUUGCGAAGGCAGCUUACUAAACCAUAACUGACACUGAAG
Molecule: ribosomal RNA, 712 nt
Filed under: uncultured Bacteroidales bacterium
Lineage: Bacteria; Pseudomonadati; Bacteroidota; Bacteroidia; Bacteroidales
Description: bacterial SSU rRNA
Rfam family: Bacterial small subunit ribosomal RNA
Source: RNAcentral